This 595-nucleotide unclassified non-coding RNA is filed under the name Penicillium steckii. Its description in RNAcentral is "sequence contains 18S rRNA gene, ITS1, 5.8S rRNA gene, ITS2 and 28S rRNA gene". The stretch from base 209 to 362 matches the Rfam family "5.8S ribosomal RNA". The record is from RNAcentral. Lineage: Eukaryota; Fungi; Ascomycota; Eurotiomycetes; Eurotiales; Aspergillaceae.
CCCGUAGGUGAACCUGCGGAAGGAUCAUUACUGAGUGAGGGCCCCUCGGGGUCCAACCUCCCACCCGUGUUUAACGAACCUUUGUUGCUUCGGCGGGCCCGCCUCACGGCCGCCGGGGGGCUCCUGCCCCCGGGUCCGCGCCCGCCGAAGCCCCCCCCUUGAACGCUGUCUGAAGUUUGCAGUCUGAGAAACUAGCUAAUUUAGUUAAAACUUUCAACAACGGAUCUCUUGGUUCCGGCAUCGAUGAAGAACGCAGCGAAAUGCGAAAACUAAUGUGAAUUGCAGAAUUCAGUGAAUCAUCGAGUCUUUGAACGCACAUUGCGCCCUCUGGUAUUCCGGAGGGCAUGCCUGUCCGAGCGUCAUUGCUGCCCUCAAGCACGGCUUGUGUGUUGGGCCCCCGUCCCCCCCUCUGCCGGGGGGACGGGCCCGAAAGGCAGCGGCGGCACCGCGUCCGGUCCUCGAGCGUAUGGGGCUUCGUCACCCGCUCUUGUAGGCCCGGCCGGCGCCAGCCGACCCCAACCCUAAAUUUUUUUCAGGCUGACCUCGGAUCAGGUAGGGAUACCCGCUGAACUUAAGCAUAUCAAUAAGCGGAGGA